This 562-nucleotide long non-coding RNA is filed under the name Homo sapiens (human). Its description in RNAcentral is "non-protein coding LINC01198:12". The record is from RNAcentral. Lineage: Eukaryota; Metazoa; Chordata; Mammalia; Primates; Hominidae.
UUGACCUUGCUGCCUUUUUUAACCCACACUACAAAAGGAAUGGAACAGAUAAGAAGAUACUGAAAUUGGACGGUGCUGCCGUGCGGCUGCCGCAGGACACCUUUAAUAUCCCUGUUUCUCAGGCUGUAGAUGAAGGGGUUCAGCAUGGAGGUGAUCACCGUGUACAUCACUGAGGCCACUGCAGCCUUUCUCGGGGAAGAUGACACAUCUGAACUGAGGUACCCUCCAAAGCCUGUUCCGUAAAAUCAGCAAACAACUGACAGGAUAACUUCAGGAAGUGGGUAUUAAUUCUCACGGUAUAAGUGAAGACAUUAAGCACCAGAGUUUAAGUAGCUUGAUCCACUGAAAGAGAUUCAACUGUGUGGAACCUAUGCCGUGGAGAAUUGCUUUCUGCCAUUGUUAUCGUCCAGCAGUUGCCGAAUAGCUCUGACCUGAGCAAAGCAGUGAAACGCGGUGCUGUUGAGUGGGUUGCCACUGCACCUUUUUCAACUACUCUAGUCUUGUGGAGAAAAUACCCCUUCUAAAUUUUUUCUUCAUUGAAUACUCUCCCUCAGCUCCAGAG